GGACAGGACUCCUGCUGGGCUCCACCCUGUGCUCUCAACAUGGCUCUGUUGAGGGACACCAGUGGGUCAGUGGCCAAGCUGAACAGCUGCGAGCUGUGUCACUUCCCACUGGUCACCCUGACUGUACAGAAAGUGUUCAGUGCUCACCAUGCUUGGGUCUCGGAAUUCCACACAGUUCUGUUGGCAGUGGAGAGCCGCUGGCCAGGGCGAAAUGCACACAGUGCUUGGUGCCAGGCUUGUUCAUGCUCUUCACUGAGCUCCCUAGUCCUGUAAGAAAGAUGGCUGUGUAUGUAGACAGGGAAACUGAGGCACAGCACUAUUACAUAACAUCCAAGACCACUAAACUCCAGCACCCAACUACCUCUGUGGUGACUGACCUGACCCUGAAGGACAGUGGCUCCCUGGGAGGCAGCUCUUCCUUCUUCACAAAUUCA
RNAcentral lists this long non-coding RNA (434 nucleotides) under Rattus norvegicus (Norway rat). RNAcentral's name for it is "long non-coding RNA NONRATT002485". Lineage: Eukaryota; Metazoa; Chordata; Mammalia; Rodentia; Muridae. The record is from RNAcentral.